Molecule: long non-coding RNA, 1050 nt
Filed under: Oncorhynchus mykiss (rainbow trout)
Lineage: Eukaryota; Metazoa; Chordata; Actinopteri; Salmoniformes; Salmonidae
Description: lncRNA (ENSOMYG00000050132.1)
Source: RNAcentral
CCUAGACCUACGAGAGUCUGCCCGUCUAUCCACUGUAUAUCCCCUCUACUGUAUAUCAACUGUAUAGCCACUGUACUGUAUAUCAACUGUAUAUCCACUGUACUGUAUAUCAACUGUAUAUCCACUGUACUGUAUAUCAACUGCAUAUCCAGUGUACUGUAUAUCAACUGUAUAGCCACUGUACUGUAUAUCAACUGUAUAUCCACUGUACUGUAUAUCAACUGUAUAUCCACUGUACUGUAUAUCAACUGUAUAUCCACUGUACUGUAUAUCAACUGUAUAUCCACUGUACUGUAUAUCAACUGCAUAUCCAGUGUACUGUAUAUCAACUGUAUAGCCACUGAACUGUAUAUCAACUGUAUAUCCACUGUACUAUAUAUCAACUGUAUAUCCACUGUACUGUAUAUCAACUGUAUAGCCACUGAACUGUAUAUCAACUGUAUAUCCACUGUACUGUAUAUCAACUGUAUAUCCACUGUACUGUAUAUCAACUGUAUAUCCACUGUACUGUAUAUCAACUGCAUAUCCAGUGUACUGUAUAUCAACUGUAUAGCCACUGAACUGUAUAUCAACUGUAUAUCCACUGUACUAUAUAUCAACUGUAUAUCCACUGUACUAUAUAUCAACUGUAUAUCCACUGUACUGUAUAUCAACUGCAUAGCCACUGUAUAUCAACGGUAUAUCCACUGUACUGUAUAUCAACUGCAUAUCCACUGUACUGUCUAUCAACUGCAUAGCCACUGUACUGUAUAUCAACUGUAUAUACACUGUACUAUAUAUCAACUGUAUAUCCACUGUACUGUAUAUCAACUGCAUAGCCACUGUAUAUCCACUGUACUGUAUAUCAACUGUAUAGCCACUGAACUGUAUUUCAACUGUUUAGCCACUGCAUAUCAACUGUAUAUCCACAGUAUAGUCACUGUACUGUAUAUCAACUGUACAGCCAACAUACUGGAAAUCAACUGUAUAGCCACUAUAUUGUAUAUCAACUGUACAGCCACUGUAUAUCCACUAUUUUAUUUAUUUUAUUUUUAUUUUACCUUUAUUUAA